This 497-nucleotide ribosomal RNA is filed under the name uncultured bacterium. RNAcentral's name for it is "partial 16S ribosomal RNA". It matches the Rfam family "Bacterial small subunit ribosomal RNA", at positions 28 to 507 of the family's 1533-position model. The record is from RNAcentral.
GAUGAACGCUGGCGGCGUGCCUAAUAUAUGCAAGUCGAGCGAACGGACGAGAAGCUUGCUUCUCUGAUGUUAGCGGCGGACGGGUGAGUAACACGUGGAUAACCUACCUAUAAGACUGGGAUAACUUCGGGAAACCGGAGCUAAUACCGGAUGAUAUUUUGAACCGCAUGGUUCAAAAGUGAAAGACGGUCUUGCUGUCACUUAUAGAUGGAUCCGCGCUGCAUUAGCUAGUUGGUAAGGUAACGGCUUACCAAGGCAACGAUGCAUAGCCGACCUGAGAGGGUGAUCGGCCACACUGGAACUGAGACACGGUCCAGACUCCUACGGGAGGCAGCAGUAGGAAAUCUUCCGCAAUGGGCGAAAGCCUGACGGAGCAACGCCGCGUGAGUGAUGAAGGUCUUCGGAUCGUAAAACUCUGUUAUUAGGGAAGAACAUAUGUGUAAGUAACUGUGCACAUCUUGACGGUACCUAAUCAGAAAGCCACGGCUAACUACGUG